ACGCAAUGUUAAAAGUAAGUAUAAAAUGCACAAGUCUCGUAGAUUUGUGGAAGAAUCCAUUGCUCACGAAGGAACUAUCGUAAGAUUAAUCUUUGGUUGCUCCUACUUUUUUUUUUUUUUUUUUACUGGGACCUGUUAUUUUUUUGUAAUAUGAUUUGUUUGCUUUGUAAACAAAGUUGAGCGUCUAAAUAUAUGCUACGAAGGCUGUAUGCGUGAUAACCACAGCAGGUGAAAAUAAGUAGUUUUAAGUUUGUAUGACUGUGGCAAAUAAUUGGGAGAACGAGCUUAGUUUUAGUACAAAAAACUGUUUAGAUUUCUUCAUCGUAAAUUAGGCUGAAUUGUGCGACCCUACAACAUUGACAUUGUCUACGGUCGUGCUGAAAUAAGUGAACGUCGAAAAUCGUCGAAAACUAAGCAAGUUUUUCUGUUUUAAAACACUAGUCGAAAUUUUGGGCAAUGAUGUGAAAUUUUCAAUACGAUACGACUCUCGAAAAACAACUUACAUCC
Molecule: long non-coding RNA, 507 nt
Organism: Rhagoletis zephyria (snowberry fruit fly)
Lineage: Eukaryota; Metazoa; Arthropoda; Insecta; Diptera; Tephritidae
Source: RefSeq, a predicted model, not a curated record